Molecule: long non-coding RNA, 950 nt
Organism: Amphiprion ocellaris (clown anemonefish)
Lineage: Eukaryota; Metazoa; Chordata; Actinopteri; Pomacentridae
Source: Ensembl
AGUUCAGCCAAUCACAUAUACACACUAUGCUGUGCGCGGGUUGUUGUUGUCAUGUGGCCAGGAUGCCAUCUCUGCAAGCUAUCUUUUAGCUGAGUGUUCAGUUAAUAAAGUGUGACGUUUUGCAACAUUGUGUGAUCCUUGACUCACACAAAGGAACAAGUUUCAACAGAUAUGAAUGAGUAGAUAGGACACGCCCCUUUGAGCUGCGUGCUACAGCGAGGCUAAGCUAGUGGGGGGAAAGUUUCAGUGCAUUUCGUUGAUGUACACGGCGUGAAAACGGAAACAACAAGUAUGCCGUCUCACUGUACUGCAUACAAUUACACACUGCGUCGUACGAUUGAGACAAGGAAACUUGGAAUGACUUUUCAUAGGUUUCCCAGAGACUAUGGGUUGAGGAGGAAUUGGAAGUUUGUCGGCUUAGACCUGGUGUCAUUCCAUCAGUGUUAAACUUCCCGGCUCAUCUUGGAAGAGUACGUGCCAGAAAGACCACGACCAAGCAGCCUUGAGAUCUUAGACAGCAUCUCCCUGAGACCAAAGAACUACAGACUCUUCACAACCUGCUCAAACUCUUGGUACAGGACCUCACCACACGGGUCAAGAAGGUUUCCGUCUCAUUUCUACUCUGAAGCUCACCUUCUCCUGCUCAAACUGCUGACAAAUGUUUCUGCUGCUCUAAAGUCUGCUCUCCAGAACUUCCUAAAAACUCUCAAAGUCUCUUCUGCUGCAGGUUGCUUUGUAGAACUGUUCCAGAAAACCUCACUAAACCACAUGGAGGGGCCUCAAGAUAGUCGUCCAAAUGAAACCAUACAAAAACCAAACUAGCACAACCCAAACACUAAAGUCUCCUGCAGCCUACCAGAGAACCUCUGAGAACAGAGAAUCAGGACAGGAACUCUUACCUUCUGGACAACCAGCAUUGGUUCACAAACAAGAAUACAGAAUGUGUCUGA